Molecule: long non-coding RNA, 1306 nt
Organism: Trachemys scripta elegans
Lineage: Eukaryota; Metazoa; Chordata; Testudines; Emydidae
Exons: 3
Source: RefSeq, a predicted model, not a curated record
GCCCACUUCCAGUGGAUCAUUCCUGGUGCCAGGCUCCCUCACAUCCUGCCGGUCCUACAGCUUUUAUCACCUAUUAGUCUCCUGCCAGUGCUACAGCUCUUAUUUUGCCAAGAAGGUCACCACUGCAAUUCAGCUCCUUUGAAAUGUACCUUGGAAAAUACAGCUGACAGUUUACAUGUGUGGGCCAAGAAGAUGCUUUCCACCAGGCAGUCUUUCAAGGCACUGUGGAAAAUGGCAGUGUGGACCAAUGGACUUUGACUUAGGACACCUCGAUUCUAUUCCUGGCUCUGCCAUUAACAUAUUAUGUGAUCUCUCCAUGCCACGCUUCCACCUGUUCUUUGUCGUGUCUAUUUAGACUGUGAACUCUCAGUGGGCAGAGAUUGGCUCUUAUUAGGUGUAUACAGUGCCUGGCACUGCUACAGUGAUAGAAAUAAAUAUAUAUAUUUUGAAUCUUGGGAUCCCUCUGGGACUCAGAGCCCCAUGGGAAGGGAAUUCCUUGCAUUGCCAAUGGACAAACCUUUCCUUCUCCCCUCCAACUGAAAUCCCUACCCUAUCCACCACAAAUGUCACCCAUCCAGCUAGCAAAGGAGUAUCACUUCUGAUUUCUGGAGGGAACUGGGUCAAGUUCUCUGUGCCUACAGGAAAGUCACCAUAGCAUGAUGCCAUUGAGAGAAUGGGGGAAUAAAGGUGAAAAACCUGGGGAGGAUUUCUUCAUGAGACAAGAAGGUCGAAAUGAGGAAUGAAGACUUGUAAAGAGCUUUGGAGAGGAGCAGUGGUGAAGGAUUUAAGGUAAAGAAGAAGAAUAUAAGAGCAGGGAAGUACCCAGAAGUUCAGCCUUGCGCAUAGCAUCCAUUAUAGAAGUAGAAUAGCUCAAGAGGGAGGACCUAACUACAGGAAGAGGAAGUGAAUCUGAAAUCAUUCACAAAUCAUUUCCCUUCACCAAGGACUGCUUGCAAAGCAGUGUCAGCUAGUGAAAGUGCAAGUCAUGGUGCAAAACUGACCAGCAACAUCGAGAUAGGUAAGCAAUGUCUGACUAUAUGGGAGUGAAAGAGCUUUACAUAAUGUUAGCAGGUUUUUAUUCAUUUCAAGCUAGUGACAGACCACAAAUCCCUGUGACAACUAAUAAAGAAUAAGGUGCCUCUUAGAAGACAGAGAAGGCUCAUAUGUUGAAUAAGAUUUAUACAUACUAGACAGUAUACGAUGCCUAAUCAAGACCUGUACACCAUCCAGGUCCUCUAGUUGCUCAGGAAGAAAGAGAAGCAUAUGUGGGUGCGGUUGUGGGUGACUUGUAAGCCUUGCCAUGGAA